RNAcentral lists this transfer RNA (73 nucleotides) under Acropora cervicornis. RNAcentral's name for it is "tRNA-Ala". It matches the Rfam family "tRNA". From Rfam's summary of the family: Transfer RNA (tRNA) molecules are approximately 80 nucleotides in length. The record is from RNAcentral. Lineage: Eukaryota; Metazoa; Cnidaria; Anthozoa; Scleractinia; Acroporidae.
GGCUUCACAGCUCAGAUGGUCGAGCAUCGCACCGGCAGCGCGGAGGUCACGGGUUCGAAUCCCGUUGAAGCCC